GACGAACGCUGGCGGCGUGCCUAAUACAUGCAAGUCGAACGGACCUUGCUUGGACGGAGUGGAGUACUUGUACAAAGCGAAGACUGAGCGCUGGUUAGUGGCGAACGGGUGAGUAACACGUAGGUAACCUACCGAUAAGACGAGGACAACUCAUGGAAACGUGAGCUAAUACUGGAUGUGGUAUAUGGAAGGCAUCUCCUAUAUAUUAAAGGAGCUUUUGGCUUCACUUAUUGAUGGACCUGCGGCGUAUUAGCUAGUUGGUAGGAUAGCAGCCUACCAAGGCAAUGAUACGUAGCCGAUCUGAGAGGAUAAACGGCCACACUGGGACUGAGAUACGGCCCAGACUCCUACGGGAGGCAGCAGUAGGGAAUUUUCCACAAUGGACGAAAGUCUUAUGGAGCAACGCCGCGUGUGUGAAGAAGGUUUUCGGAUUGUAAAGCACUGUUGUAUGGAAGAAUAAGGUGAGAAGGAAAUGGCUCAUCGAUGACGGUAC
This 493-nucleotide ribosomal RNA is filed under the name uncultured bacterium. Its description in RNAcentral is "bacterial SSU rRNA". It matches the Rfam family "Bacterial small subunit ribosomal RNA", at positions 28 to 478 of the family's 1533-position model. The record is from RNAcentral.